RNAcentral lists this ribosomal RNA (379 nucleotides) under uncultured eukaryote. RNAcentral's name for it is "partial 18S ribosomal RNA". It matches the Rfam family "Eukaryotic small subunit ribosomal RNA", at positions 592 to 975 of the family's 1831-position model. The record is from RNAcentral.
CAAUAGCGUAUAUUAAAGUUGUUGCGGUUAAAAAGCUCGUAGUUGGAUUUCUGCUGAGAACGACCGGUCCGCCCUCUGGGUGUGUAUCUGGCUCUUUCUUGGCAUCUUCUUGGUGAACGUUGCUGCACUUGACUGUGUGGAGCGCUACCCAGGACUUUUACUUUGAGGAAAUUAGAGUGUUUCAAGCAGGCAUACGCCUUGAAUACAUUAGCAUGGAAUAAUAAGAUAGGACCUCGGUUCUAUUUUGUUGGUUUCUAGAGCUGAGGUAAUGAUUAAUAGGGAUAGUUGGGGGCAUUCGUAUUUAACUGUCAGAGGUGAAAUUCUUGGAUUUGUUAAAGACGAACUACUGCGAAAGCAUUUGCCAAGGAUGUUUNCAUUA